Non-coding RNA from Gossypium arboreum, 101 nucleotides. The record is from Rfam. NCBI's taxonomy places the organism in Eukaryota, Viridiplantae, Streptophyta, Magnoliopsida, Malvales, Malvaceae.
UGCUAAAAAUUUCAUCUAUUUGUACAAUUAAAAACUGGCAUAUGACAGAAUAACCAGACAAUGACCAGUUUUUAAUAGUAGAAAUGGAUGAAAUUUUAUCA